This 21-nucleotide unclassified non-coding RNA is filed under the name Mus musculus (house mouse). RNAcentral describes it as "oocyte_clustered_small_RNA7787". Lineage: Eukaryota; Metazoa; Chordata; Mammalia; Rodentia; Muridae. The record is from RNAcentral.
UGUGAUUCUGUUCCUCCUGUG